UACGGGGGGAGCAAGCGUUGUUCGGAUUUACUGGGCGUAAAGGGCGCGUAGGCGGUCAGCACAAGUCAGUUGUGAAAUCUCCGGGCUUAACCCGGAAAGGUCAACUGAUACUGUGCGACUAGAGUGCGGAAGGGGCAACUGGAAUUCUCGGUGUAGCGGUGAAAUGCGUAGAUAUCGAGAGGAACACCUGCGGCGAAGGCGGGUUGCUGGGCCGACACUGACGCUGAAGCGCGAAAGCCAGGGGAGCAAACGGG
This 254-nucleotide ribosomal RNA is filed under the name uncultured bacterium. RNAcentral describes it as "partial 16S ribosomal RNA". It matches the Rfam family "Bacterial small subunit ribosomal RNA", at positions 524 to 776 of the family's 1533-position model. The record is from RNAcentral.